GCAAGUCGAGCGAGCGGAACUAACAGAUUUACUUCGGUAAUGACGUUAGGAAAGCGAGCGGCGGAUGGGUGAGUAACACGUGGGGAACCUGCCCCAUAGUCUGGGAUACCACUUGGAAACAGGUGCUAAUACCGGAUAAGAAAGCAGAUCGCAUGAUCAGCUUUAAAAGGCGGCGUAAAGCUGUCGCUAAAGGAUGGACCUGCGAUGCAUUAGCUAGUUGGGGUAAAGGUAACGGGCUUACCAAGGCGAUGAUGCAUAGCCGAGUUGAGAGACUGAUCGGCCACAUUGGGACUGAGACACGGCCCAAACUCCUACGGGAGGCAGCAGUAGGGAAUCUUCCACAAUGGACGCAAGUCUGAUGGAGCAACGCCGCGUGAGUGAAGAAGGUUUUCGGAUCGUAAAGCUCUGUUGUUGGUGAAGAAGGAUAGAGGUAGUAACUGGCCUUUAUUUGACGGUAAUCAACCAGAAAGUCACGGGCUAACUACGUGCCAGCAGCCGCGGUAAAU
RNAcentral lists this ribosomal RNA (506 nucleotides) under uncultured Lactobacillus sp. RNAcentral describes it as "bacterial SSU rRNA". It matches the Rfam family "Bacterial small subunit ribosomal RNA", at positions 57 to 525 of the family's 1533-position model. The record is from RNAcentral. Lineage: Bacteria; Bacillati; Bacillota; Bacilli; Lactobacillales; Lactobacillaceae.